This is a non-coding RNA of Borealophlyctis nickersoniae, 99 nucleotides long. NCBI's taxonomy places the organism in Eukaryota, Fungi, Chytridiomycota, Chytridiomycetes, Rhizophlyctidales, Borealophlyctidaceae. The record is from the annotation of a GenBank genome assembly.
AGCACUUUAGCGCAGAGGAAGCGCGUUGGGCUCAUACAGGUCCGUUUUUCAUGGUUUGGUGACACCCAAAGGCCCCAGGAUCGAAACCUGGAAGUGCUA